GACGAACGCUGGCGGCGCGCCUAACACAUGCAAGUCGAACGGAGCUGAGAGAAGCUUGCUUUUCUUAGCUUGGUGGCGAACGGGUGAGUAACGCGUGAGUAACCUGCCCUGGAGUGGGGGACAACAGCUGGAAACGACUGCUAAUACCGCAUAAGCCCACGAUCCGGCAUCGGAUUGAGGGAAAAGGAUUUAUUCGCUUCAGGAUGGACUCGCGUCCAAUUAGCUAGUUGGUGAGGUAACGGCCCACCAAGGCGACGAUUGGUAGCCGGACUGAGAGGUUGGACGGCAACAUUGGAGGUGAGACACGGCCAAGAAUCCUACGGGAGGGAGCAGUGGGGGAUAGUGCAAAAGGGGGGAGACCCUGAUGGGGCGACGCCGCGUGGAGGACGAAGGUUUUCGGAUUGUAAACUCGUGAGGAUAGGGACGAUAAUGACGGUACCUAACAAGAAAGCACCGGCUAACUACGUG
This 468-nucleotide ribosomal RNA is filed under the name uncultured bacterium. RNAcentral's name for it is "partial 16S ribosomal RNA". It matches the Rfam family "Bacterial small subunit ribosomal RNA", at positions 28 to 507 of the family's 1533-position model. The record is from RNAcentral.